Molecule: ribosomal RNA, 301 nt
Filed under: uncultured bacterium
Lineage: Bacteria
Description: partial 16S ribosomal RNA
Rfam family: Bacterial small subunit ribosomal RNA
Source: RNAcentral
CAGUCGCCACGGUAAUACGUAUGUCGCGAGCGUUAUCCGGAAUUAUUGGGCAUAAAGGGCAUCUAGGCGGCCGGAUAAGUCUGGGGUGGAAACUUGCGGCUCAACCGCAAGCCUGCCCUGGAAACUAUGCGGCUAGAGUACUGGAGAGGUGGACGGAACUGCACGAGUAGAGGUGAAAUUCGUAGAUAUGUGCAGGAAUGCCGAUGAUGAAGAUAGUUCACUGGACGGUAACUGACGCUGAAGUGCGAAAGCUAGGGGAGCAAACAGGAUUAGAUACCCCCGUAGUCCCUGUCUCUUAUAC